GACAGAGGGUGCAAACGUUGUUCGGAAUUACUGGGCGUAAAGCGCGUGUAGGCGGCUGCGUGUGUCGGGCGUGAAAUCCCAUGGCUCAACCAUGGAAGUGCACCCGAAACUGCGUAGCUAGAGUCCUGGAGAGGAAGGUCGAAUGCUUGGUGUAGAGGUGAAAUUCGUAGAUAUCAAGCGGAACACCGGUGGCGAAGGCGGCCUUCUGGACAGUGACUGACGCUGAGACGCGAAAGCGUGGGGAGCAAACAGG
This 253-nucleotide ribosomal RNA is filed under the name uncultured bacterium. RNAcentral's name for it is "partial 16S ribosomal RNA". It matches the Rfam family "Bacterial small subunit ribosomal RNA", at positions 524 to 776 of the family's 1533-position model. The record is from RNAcentral.